This 932-nucleotide long non-coding RNA is filed under the name Solanum tuberosum (potato). Its description in RNAcentral is "long non-coding RNA (STUB_LNC000004)". The record is from RNAcentral. Lineage: Eukaryota; Viridiplantae; Streptophyta; Magnoliopsida; Solanales; Solanaceae.
GUGCUUUAAGCCUACCGUUUCAAGGUUCAUUUAGGAAAGCUCAUUAACUCCUCUUGAAAGGGUGCCAUGGGCCUACCGGUUCAAGUCUCAUCAUUAACCUUCAUGGAAAGGUGCCAUAGGCCUACCGAUUCCAAGGUUCAUUACUAUCAUUAAUUGAAGGGUGCCAUUAGCCUACCGAUUCCAAGGUUCAUUAUUAUCAUUAAUGGAAGGGUGCCAUUAGCCUACCGAUCCAAGGUUCAUUAUAAGCAUGUGUGGAAGGGUGCCAUUAGCCUACCGAUCCAAGGUUCAUUAUAAGCAUGUGUGGAAGGGUGCCAUUAGCCUACCGAUCCAAGGUUCAUUACUUAUCAUUAAUGGAAGGGUGCCAUUAGCCUACCGAUCCAAGGUUCAUUACUUAUCAUUAAUGGAAGGGUGCCAUUAGCCUACCGAUCCAAGGUUCAUUACUUAUCAUUAAUGGAAGGGUGCCAUUAGCCUACCGAUCCAAGGUUCAUUACUUAUCAUUAAUGGAAGGGUGCCAUUAGCCUACCGAUCCAAGGUUCAUUACUUAUCAUUAAUGGAAGGGUGCCAUUAGCCUACCGAUCCAAGGUUCAUUACUUAUCAUUAAUGGAAGGGUGCCAUUAGCCUACCGAUCCAAGGUUCAUUACUUAUCAUUAAUGGAAGGGUGCCAUUAGCCUACCGAUCCAAGGUUCAUUACUUAUCAUUAAUGGAAGGGUGCCAUUAGCCUACCGAUCCAAGGUUCAUUACUUAUCAUUAAUGGAAGGGUGCCAUUAGCCUACCGAUCCAAGGUUCAUUACUUAUCAUUAAUGGAAGGGUGCCAUUAGCCUACCGAUUCCAAGGUUCAUUAUUAUCAUGAUUGGAAGGGUGCUACUAGCCUACCGAUUCGAGGAUUCCACAACCAACAAUAUAAUCAUUUAAACAAGAAAAGGAUGCACAAG